RNAcentral lists this microRNA (19 nucleotides) under Dinoponera quadriceps. RNAcentral describes it as "dqu-miR-31-3p". Its record names the gene dqu-miR-31-3p. The record is from miRBase by way of RNAcentral. Lineage: Eukaryota; Metazoa; Arthropoda; Insecta; Hymenoptera; Formicidae.
UGUGUCACAUCCAGCCAAC